Molecule: long non-coding RNA, 1134 nt
Organism: Populus trichocarpa (black cottonwood)
Lineage: Eukaryota; Viridiplantae; Streptophyta; Magnoliopsida; Malpighiales; Salicaceae
Exons: 2
Source: RefSeq, a predicted model, not a curated record
GUUCCAUAUCGCAUAGCAUGCAACUGAAUUAGGCCACAUGGUUCAAAUCUACUGGGGAUUAUCAUAAAGUCAGCACCAGCGAUGAUCAUAUGGGCCAAGGGGACAUUAAACAAUGCCACUCCUCUGACCUUGUCAGGGAUUCCAUUCUUGAACAUCCAUACCAUUUAUGAUACCAGUAAUGCCAGUUUUACGGAUGCAGUGAUCCAAUUCCAUACCCUUUUCAAUUCCAGAAACAAGUUCCUGGGCAUAGUAAGGGCUCACAGUAAAAACCAUUUGGGCUUCCAAUAUACCAGCCUUCAACCAAUUGAGUUUCCUUCCCUUCACAGGCUUGUCAUACCUGCCCAAUUAAAAUCCCUCAGUAUUUGGAAAGGGAGGAGACACACAAACCUGUAUAAAACUAUGGUUCUAGUCAUCUGAAAGCAUCAGCUUCUAAAACAAAAUCCUCACAAGUCCAUGAAGUCAAAAGAGCUCUUGAACCUAUCUGGCAAAUUGAGGAGUGAGAAAUCUGAGAAGGCAAAUCGGCCCUGGUAAGCAAUGUUAUGGAUGCAAAAGGCAACCUGUCAUGAUUGAAUUAACAACAGCAAUGUCAGCAACUGUGCAAUCGGACAUCCAAGCUAAGCAUAUCUCUGAAGGUCUCAAUUCAACGGGUAAAUUACCUUCGCAUUCAUGAAAAGUCCCCUGGAUUGGUACAUUGAUUUUAAGUAACAUGGGAGGAGAGCUGUGUGCCAAUCAUUGGCAACAAAGACAACAUCCUCACCUGCAUUGAUUGAGAAAAUAACAUCAUUGGAGAAAUUUCUUCAUAGGAAAAUUAAGUCUCACAUUUUUGUAAAGAGGCACACACCAUAUGGUCCAGAAAAAUGCUUGCUGCUGUUCAAGCUCAGAACCCUUGGUGCUUCAAGAGCAGCCUGAAAAGCAAUCAAAAGAAUCCAUUUACUAUUGACUUGCCUAUCCACUAUACCAGCAAUUAUCGGAACACCGAUGCUGAUCAACUACCAUUAGCGGAUGGAAAAUAACAUGAAUAUGUUCUGAAAUUUCUCUUAACUCAUUGUUAAUCAUUUUGUAGAAUAAGUGAACUUGCAAGCAGUCAGGUCUACUUGCGUGAAAGUUUAUACUAAAAGACACAUGCUUUGAUUA